UUUUUUUAAAAUAAAAGAAUAGUUGGACAGCGGAGGGAUCAUUACUGGACUCGCAAGACUCCUAAACCCUGUGAACUUUCUGUAAAAAAAAGGUUGCCUCGGCGGCGUCCUCGCCCCCCCGAAUAGGAUAACGGGACGCGCCGCCAGCGGCACAACAACCCUGCAUCGCGCGUUGGCAUCUCGAGGACGAAGAAGCAAUCAAAACUUUCAACAACGGAUCUCUUGGCUCUGGCAUCGAUGAAGAACGCAGCGAAAUGCGAUAAGUAAUGCGAAUUGCAGAAUUCCGUGAGUCAUCGAAUCUUUGAACGCACAUUGCGCCCGCCAGCAUUCUGGCGGGCAUGCCUAUUCGAGUGUCAUUCGCACCGCUCAGGCCCUGCCUGGCGUUGGAGGACUGCGCCCGCGCAGCCUCCCAAAGCGAGCGGCGGUGGUCUCCCCGGAACCGAGCGCAGUCACGCCUCGUCUCGGGCCCUGGGGGCCGUCCGGCCGGAAAAAUAACAGCCCUAGGGCACACACUACGUUGACCUCGAAUUAGGUAGGAAUACCCGCUGAACUUAAGCAUAUCAAUAAGCGGAGGAAAAGAAACCAACCGGGAUUGCCUCAGUAACGGCGAGUGAAGCGGCCACAGCUCAAAAUUUGAAAUCUGGCCCUCGGGUUCCGAGUUGUACUUUGCAGAGGAUGCUUCUGGCGAGGGCGCUGCCCAAAGUCCCCUGGAACGGGGCGCCGGAGAGGGUGAGAGCCCCGUACGGUCGGCGGCCGAGCCUGUGCGAAAGCUCCUUCGACGAGUCGAGUAGUUUGGGAAUGCUGCUCUAAGCGGGGAGGGUAGACCCCUUUCUAAAGCUAAAUACCGGGCCAGAGACCGAUAGCGCACAAGUUAGAGUGAUCGAAAAGAUGAAAAGCAUCUUUGAAAAGAGGGUUAAACAGCCACGGUGAAAUUGUUGAAAAGGGAAGCGCUUGCGACCAGACGUGCGCCGGGGUGGCUCCGGUGGGCGUUUCUCGCCCGCGCACUCGCCCCGGCGCAGGCCAGCGUUCGGUUUCGGACGGGGGGACAAAGGCGCCUGGAACCGUGGCUUCCUUCGGGAGUGUUAUAGCCAGGCGCGUCAUGCCCCCGCCCGGACCGAAGGUUCGCUUUCUGCAAGAACCUGGUAUAAUGUCCAGGCCUUUUAAAAA
This 1167-nucleotide ribosomal RNA is filed under the name Ascomycota sp. L238. RNAcentral describes it as "eukaryotic LSU rRNA". The stretch from base 519 to 1167 matches the Rfam family "Eukaryotic large subunit ribosomal RNA", at positions 1 to 564 of the family's 3401-position model. The record is from RNAcentral. Lineage: Eukaryota; Fungi; Ascomycota.